Non-coding RNA from Paramuricea clavata, 497 nucleotides. NCBI's taxonomy places the organism in Eukaryota, Metazoa, Cnidaria, Anthozoa, Malacalcyonacea, Plexauridae. The record is from the annotation of a GenBank genome assembly.
AUUGUUUUUUUUCUUUGCCACAAAUCAAAACAUAUUCCGAAAAACAUCAACUUCGUCUGGUUGUGGUUUACUUUGCUGUGUGUGACAUCAAUUUUCUUUUAGCUUUAUCACCUUGCAUUAGCCCAAAUUUGAGUAUACAGUAUAUGUAUGCUUGUUGCUUCAGUUCAUCCGUAUUCAAACAAUUCCACUUUGUAAUAAUGUGAAGACAAUAUGCUAGCUUAUUUAGACCUCAACUGUUUGUUUUAAACUUGGAAAAGUUAUAAUUUAAAAUCACAAUAUUUGUUCCGAAGUUCAAAUGUGCUGUUAAAAACAACGCUGAAUCUCUUUCCCAAAAUAAUCAAAUAACAACUGAAGUUUACAACCCCCUAUAAGUCAACACUGUAUAGAACUGCCUUGUUCCUCAACAAAUCCAUUUUAUUUGUGUCCAGGAAUAAUCAAACUCAUGUAUUAAGAGUGUACUGGGGUAAAUAAGACAAGACUAUUAAACAACAAGGCAG